Molecule: non-coding RNA, 238 nt
Filed under: Clostridium algidicarnis DSM 15099
Lineage: Bacteria; Bacillati; Bacillota; Clostridia; Eubacteriales; Clostridiaceae
Source: RNAcentral
GAGAACUAAUAAUUUCGAAGUGUGGAAUGAUAGGGUAACGUCUUGAAACACACUCUUUAAUACUCCGACUGGCAUUACAAGAGGAAACUUUAAAUGUCAGAAGCUCGGUGAAGUCGGCAGAAGUAAGUCUAAGUCAAAGAAAUAAUCAAGUAAGAUUGGUUCAAAAGUGGUUAGAACCCACCUGUCAUGAAAGAUUAAAGUAUAAGAUAGGAUUUAUGAUAUGCCGGAAGUCUACAAA